GUUUCACCGUGUUGGCCUGGAUGGUCUCGAGCUCCUGACCUAGCUACCUGCCUGCCUCAGCCUCCCAAAGUGCUGGGAUUACAGGGGUGAGCCACCACGCCCGGCCCAAGUCUGCUAUCUCUAUUCCAACAAGUUCAUCUGCAUCUUGUUAUUGUGCCGCGAGAAAUAGCAGCCUGACCCUCAGUUUGAUCCGGGAUAAAAAUUUGGCACACAAGCCAGGAAUUAAGGACAGUGCUGCAUUCAGCGGCUGGCAACUUGCUAUGAGACAGUCUUCAGGAGGAUCCCAGAAGCUGCUGGGUGAGGUUUCCCCCGGGACCCUCCAGAGGGCUGUUGUGCGCAAAUCUGCAUGUCCUUUUCACUACUGAGGAGAAACAGAGAUCAGGAGCAGAUGCGCUCAAAGGAGUCAAGGAAGCUUUUCUUUUGUGCUAUUAACAGAUUUUAACAAUUAAGUAAAGUAUACUCCUAUGAACAAAAUUUGGAGCAUAUUUGUUUCUCUCUGCCUUGUCCCUCUAGAAUUUGGAAACUAUCUGUGAGUAUUCUUAAUUUAUGGCAAUAUAGUUAUUUGCAU
RNAcentral lists this long non-coding RNA (568 nucleotides) under Homo sapiens (human). Its description in RNAcentral is "PREDICTED lncRNA (TCONS_00021961)". Lineage: Eukaryota; Metazoa; Chordata; Mammalia; Primates; Hominidae. The record is from RNAcentral.